RNAcentral lists this ribosomal RNA (217 nucleotides) under uncultured bacterium. Its description in RNAcentral is "partial 16S ribosomal RNA". It matches the Rfam family "Bacterial small subunit ribosomal RNA", at positions 328 to 539 of the family's 1533-position model. The record is from RNAcentral.
ACGCUCGACACCUACGGGAGGAGCAGUGAGGAAUAUUGGUCAAUGGACGCAAGUCUGAACCAGCCAUGCCGCGUGCAGGAUGACGGCUCUAUGAGUUGUAAACUGCUUUUGUACGAGGGUAAACGCAGAUACGUGUAUCUGUCUGAAAGUAUCGUACGAAUAAGGAUCGGCUAACUCCGUGUCAGCAGCCGCGGUAAUCUGAGCGGGCUGGCAAGGC